RNAcentral lists this long non-coding RNA (1342 nucleotides) under Daucus carota (carrot). RNAcentral describes it as "long non-coding RNA (DCAR_LNC002457)". Lineage: Eukaryota; Viridiplantae; Streptophyta; Magnoliopsida; Apiales; Apiaceae. The record is from RNAcentral.
AGGUAAACCUUAAUCUAUCCGGUAGCUAGGAACAUAUGCUUAGAUUGUAUAAUCGAUAAGAACAGGUUAUGCAUCUUUUUUUUUUGACAGAACAGGUUAUGCAUCUUAAUUCAGUGUUUAUCUAAUAUAAGCACAAUGACCAAUAUGUAGAGUUAAUUUAUUGUGUUUCUAGAUUUCCAUUCUUUAAUGUUGUGUUUGGUUGGGGUGAAUGGAAUGGAAUGGAAUGAGUAUAAAUAAAAUAAAAUAAUAGAGUGUAUGAGGGAAGACUUUGAAAAAAAAAUUAGUGAGUACAAAUUUUGUAUGAUAAGAUUUAGGUAGAAAAUAGGUAUGAUAAGGAAUGGAGCAUUCCUUCCCAAAAUGGAGGCUUUGAGCUCUAGUUAAGGGUGAUGCUAAUGGAAUGGUGGAAGGAAUGAAAUUAUUAUGAAUUCAACUAAAUUAUAAAUCAAAUCUCAUUCCAUUUCCUCCAUUUUCAUUCAUCCCAACCAAAUACAACAUAAGAGUUUGCAAAAUUGCGUAGACAUCAAACAAGAAUCUAGACAUCAUUGGUUCCUUCCCUUUACCUGAAUUUCCAUUUUUCUCAAUAUUGUCUUCAAUUACAAGUAUUAGUUUUUCUUUUACAUUUCCACUCUACCAAAUACAGCAGAAAAAGUAGUUAAGUAGGUUCUAAUUGGCUAAGAAAAUCAAAUCAAAUCAGAUUUAGAAUUUGGAUAAUUUGAUUCUAUGCUGAGUUGCUGCAGAGUUGUGUAGAUUGACACAGAGUUGCAAUUAUCCCCCAAAUCCAUCAUAUUAAGGGUUUUCUACUUUCGUUUUAUGAAAUGAUCCAUUUUGAUGGAUUCUGGGUUUUAACUAUAAUUUACAAAAAUCCAAUAUAAAUUUAUAAAAAUUUUGAGGAUUUAAGACAUUUAUGAAGUCUCGACAUGCAGACUAGACAUAACAUUGGACAUAAAAUUUGGAUAUCGUAUCUUAGCAUAUGAAGUUAUUGAAAUAUGUCAGAGUUAUAAUUAAUACACUCUUAUGUUAUUUAUGUUGGUGUUGUAAUAGUUUGAAAUAUAUUAUGAGAUCCAAAAAAAUCCACCAAUUUAUAAGAAUCCUUAGUCGCCAAGUUUCUUUUAAUAUCACCCAAUAUUAUUAUUAUUGUUAUUAUUAUUAUUAUUAUUAUUAUUAUUAUUAUUAUUAUUAUUAUUAUUAUUAUCAUUAUUAUCAUUAUUAUUAUUAUUUCAAUUUGAUUGAAUAUUACCAGUUUCAAAGACCCUGAAGUCUUUGACUGAAUGACCCUGGAAUUAUAGAAUCUUGGUUGUAUACAAUUUUAAAAAAAUUUAAUAAAAUCCUCGUUAAACAUCCC